GACGAACGCUGGCGGCGUGCUUAACACAUGCAAGUCGAACGGAAAGGCCCCUUUGGGGGUACUCGAGUGGCGAACGGGUGCGUAACACGUGCGUAACCUGCCCUUGACUUCGGGAUAACUUCAUGAAACUGGGGCUAAUACCUGAUAGGAAUCCUUGCUGCAUGGUGGGGGUUGGAAAGCUUCGGCGGUUUUGGAUGGACUCGCGGCUUAUCAGGUUGUUGGUGGGGUAGUGGCUUACCAAGGCUUUGACGGGUAGCCGGCCUGAGAGGGCGACCGGCCACAUUGGGACUGAGAUACGGCCCAGACUCCUACGGGAGGCAGCAGUGGGGAAUAUUGCACAAUGGGCGGAAGCCUGAUGCAGCAACGCCGCGUGCGGGAUGACGGCCUUCGGGUUGUAAACCGCUUUCAGCAGGGGCGAAGCUUGUGGUGACGGUACCUGCAGAAGAAGCACCGGCUAACUACGUG
RNAcentral lists this ribosomal RNA (465 nucleotides) under uncultured bacterium. Its description in RNAcentral is "partial 16S ribosomal RNA". It matches the Rfam family "Bacterial small subunit ribosomal RNA", at positions 28 to 507 of the family's 1533-position model. The record is from RNAcentral.